CUAUACAUGCAGUCGAGCGGAAUGAAGAGAGCUUGCUCUCUGAUUUUAGCGGCGGACGGGUGAGUAACACGUGGGCAACCUGCCCUACAGUUGGGGAUAACUCCGGGAAACCGGGGCUAAUACCGAAUAAUCAGUUUGUCCGCAUGGACAAACUCUGAAAGACGGUUUCGGCUGUCACUGUAGGAUGGGCCCGCGGCGCAUUAGCUAGUUGGUGGGGUAAUGGCCUACCAAGGCGACGAUGCGUAGCCGACCUGAGAGGGUGAUCGGCCACACUGGGACUGAGACACGGCCCAGACUCCUACGGGAGGCAGCAGUAGGGAAUCUUCCACAAUGGACGAAAGUCUGAUGGAGCAAUGCCGCGUGAGCGAAGAAGGUUUUCGGAUCGUAAAGCUCUGUUGUAAGGGAAGAACACGUACGGGAGUAACUGCCCGUGCCAUGACGGUACCUUAUUAGAAAGCCACGGCUAACUACGUGCCAGCAGCCGGG
RNAcentral lists this ribosomal RNA (486 nucleotides) under uncultured Sporosarcina sp. RNAcentral's name for it is "bacterial SSU rRNA". It matches the Rfam family "Bacterial small subunit ribosomal RNA", at positions 49 to 519 of the family's 1533-position model. Lineage: Bacteria; Bacillati; Bacillota; Bacilli; Caryophanales; Caryophanaceae. The record is from RNAcentral.